AUUGAACGCUGGCGGCAGGCCUAACACAUGCAAGUCGAACGGUAACAGGAAGCAGCUUGCUGCUUUGCUGACGAGUGGCGGACGGGUGGGUAAUGUCUGGGAAACUGCCUGAUGGAGGGGGAUAACUACUGGAAACGGUAGCUAAUACCGCAUAACGUCGCAAGACCAAAGAGGGGGACCUUCGGGCCUCUUGCCAUCGGAUGUGCCCAGAUGGGAUUAGCUAGUAGGUGGGGUAACGGCUCACCUAGGCGACGAUCCCUAGCUGGUCUGAGAGGAUGACCAGCCACACUGGAACUGAGACACGGUCCAGACUCCUACGGGAGGCAGCAGUGGGGAAUAUUGCACAAUGGGCGCAAGCCUGAUGCAGCCAUGCCGCGUGUAUGAAGAAGGCCUUCGGGUUGUAAAGUACUUUCAGCGGGGAGGAAGGGAGUAAAGUUAAUACCUUUGCUCAUUGACGUUACCCGCAGAAGAAGCACCGGCUAACUCCGUG
RNAcentral lists this ribosomal RNA (490 nucleotides) under uncultured bacterium. RNAcentral's name for it is "partial 16S ribosomal RNA". It matches the Rfam family "Bacterial small subunit ribosomal RNA", at positions 30 to 507 of the family's 1533-position model. The record is from RNAcentral.